CUUUUUUUUUUUUUUUUUUUGUCUGAUUUGAAAAGCAAUUGGAUUGCAGUUUUGUAGAUUAUUCUAUGAGUUGAUGUAAUCCUAGAUCUGAUUAAUUGAUUUUCACCUGUGAUUUCGACCAUGAUUAUCUUGUAAUUGCUUUCGUCAACAAUAUACAAGAUGUUGAUUGGUCAAGAUAUUGCCCUUAUUUGACUAUAGUUUAUUAGGAUUUGAUUUUUUGUGUCUAGCGCUUAAGAAGGCCAUCCUAUAUAGGAUAAUUUGUUGCUAGGUUAGUGCAAGAGACAAUGCGAGCACAGAGUUUGAGCUUCAGAAUUUUGGUUAUAAUAUGGUAAUUUUGGUUGUUUAUUGCACUUUGCUAAAUGUAUAUCAACAUAUACCCACCGGGUUUGGCUCAAAUGUUGCACCUUAGGCGGGUUUUUAUGUAUUUGAAACUUGUGGUUGAUGAUAUUGAGAUAUGUUCACAUAAUUCAGUUGCACUGAUUGCCGGGAAUAAUUUAUGCGAGACUAUAGUGCCUAGAUCCUAUUUUGUGUUGGCAUAUUGCUUGACAAGUCUAGUAGA
This 559-nucleotide unclassified non-coding RNA is filed under the name Hevea brasiliensis (rubber tree). Lineage: Eukaryota; Viridiplantae; Streptophyta; Magnoliopsida; Malpighiales; Euphorbiaceae. The record is from RNAcentral.